This 301-nucleotide ribosomal RNA is filed under the name uncultured bacterium. Its description in RNAcentral is "partial 16S ribosomal RNA". It matches the Rfam family "Bacterial small subunit ribosomal RNA", at positions 509 to 807 of the family's 1533-position model. The record is from RNAcentral.
CAGCAGCCGCGGUAAUACGUAUGUCGCGAGCGUUAUCCGGAAUUAUUGGGCAUAAAGGGCAUCCAGGCGGCCUAACAAGUCAGGGGUGAGAACCUGCGGCUCAACCGCAGGCCUGCCUUUGAAACUGUAAGGCUGGAGUACCGGAGAGGUGGACGGAACUGCACGAGUAGAGGUGAAAUUCGUAGAUAUGUGCAGGAAUGCCGAUGAUGAAGAUAGUCCACUGGACGGAAACUGACGCUGAAGUGCGAAAGCCGGGGGAGCGAACAGGAUUAGAUACCCCAGUAGUCCCUGUCUCUUAUAC